AUGACCCACAGGGAAGUCACACAAAGCAAAUUACUGUUAGAACUAUUUCCAGCUUUCUGUAAAUUAUCAGUUACUGUCUCCAGUCUCCUUAGAAAAAUGGCCACACAGAUGGUAGCUGCACAACUUGCCUCAAUGGUGUGGAAUAACCCAAGCCAGCAGCAAUUUCUGCAGCAAUUUGGAGGAAGUUCUGGAUCACAGCUGCCUCAGAUUCAGACAGAUGUUAUACUUCCAUCUUGCAAAAAAAAAGCCGAUCCAGAAACUCCUGUGAAAGAAAGACUCUUUAUUGUGUUUAAUCCUCAUCCUUUACCUCUAGAUGUGUUAGAAGAUAUAUUCUGGUAAGAUUUCAAUUGUAUAAUGUUAUGUUUUUGUAGUAUAAUACAUUUAAACUGGCAAUUAUAGCUUUCUCACAAUCUUGAAACUUACUCUAUCCAGUACCUACUAGGUAGAGUUGAAUUGUUCUUUGGUUUUUGAAAUUCCCUAUUUGAAUCCUCUUUUUCAAUUUAUGAUCAUUUUCUUCUCUUCUUUGCCAUAUGAAGUCUUUACACAGAAUUUUUUGUUAUUUUGUUUAGAAGAAGUAAGUUAUAUAGGAUUUUUUUGAAAAGCUAGAUGUGUGAAAUAAACAAAUAUUUUGUCUGUCAAUAGACAAUACAUCCUGUCUGUCCACUAGAUUUUUUUUACGUAUCCUUUUCAUUGGUUCAGCAGGUCAUUAUUGGUUAAGUAUCUUCUAUUUUCUCAGCACUGUUUGGAUCCUGAGGAUUAUAUAACCAUAUUAAAUAAAAUAUUAUAUAAUAAGUAUAAAUGCAAGUUUGUGUUUUUCACAUAACUCCUAUUGUAGCUUUUCUUUUUGGUCAUUCUUCUUUUUCCAUUGCAAACAUAUUAGUGAAUUAAGAAGGUACAUAGGAAGCUUCUACACAAAACAUCAGGCAUGUGGUCCAGGUACUUUGACCUUUAUUUAGUUGAUUCAUUCAUUAUCUUUCCUGAAUUCCUUCUUCAUGCCAAGAAGGCACUGUAAAUUCUCAAGGUGUUAUGUAAACAAAACAUGAUGUUCUGUUAACAAGAUAAAUGAUCCUCAUCCUCUUAGACCUGAUCCCAUGUAGGAAACAGACAAAUAGG
Molecule: long non-coding RNA, 1113 nt
Filed under: Chinchilla lanigera (long-tailed chinchilla)
Lineage: Eukaryota; Metazoa; Chordata; Mammalia; Rodentia; Chinchillidae
Description: lncRNA (ENSCLAG00000022902.1)
Source: RNAcentral